UACGUAGGGUGCGAGCGUUGUCCGGAAUUAUUGGGCGUAAAGAGCUCGUAGGCGGUCUGUCGCGUCGAUCGUGAAAACUUGGGGCUUAACCCUGAGCUUGCGGUCGAUACGGGCAUGACUGGAGUUCGGCAGGGGAGACUGGAAUUCCUGGUGUAGCGGUGAAAUGCGCAGAUAUCAGGAGGAACACCGAUGGCGAAGGCAGCUCGCUGGGACGGUACUGACGCUGAGGCGCGAAAGCGUGGGGAGCGAACAGG
This 254-nucleotide ribosomal RNA is filed under the name uncultured bacterium. RNAcentral's name for it is "partial 16S ribosomal RNA". It matches the Rfam family "Bacterial small subunit ribosomal RNA", at positions 524 to 776 of the family's 1533-position model. The record is from RNAcentral.